UUUGUUGUAGCAACUCAAAGCCCUCGUCAUACGACAGACUACUGUGAGAAAUAGAAGAAGGUUCAAUAACAA
This is a non-coding RNA of Aspergillus fumigatus Af293, 72 nucleotides long. The record is from the annotation of a RefSeq genome assembly. Lineage: Eukaryota; Fungi; Ascomycota; Eurotiomycetes; Eurotiales; Aspergillaceae.